CCGCACAGAUGCCCUGCAGUUCCACCUCUGCAUGGUAGCCAAAGAGAGUCCUCUAAAUGAAGCAAUCUCUUUGAGCCUCUCAGCAUCCCCGCACUUCCAGCAUCACUCAACCCAGAAACAAUAGAAUCUACAAGGGGACUCCCUACAUGUUUCUUAUGAGGUCAGAAUUGCCAUCCUGGAAAGGUUUCCUUCGUCAGUCCAGGCAGGACUGUGCGGUUGGAAAAGGGACGGAUGCUGGUCCUGGAAGGGGCGUCGUUAUCUAGAAGCUCCCAACCUAAGUGGGUGACUCAUAGGGAGGGCAAGGAGAGAAGGACACAGCAAGCAACUUACAUGUAAAACAAGACGUGUGGGUUAUU
Molecule: long non-coding RNA, 356 nt
Filed under: Homo sapiens (human)
Lineage: Eukaryota; Metazoa; Chordata; Mammalia; Primates; Hominidae
Description: HSALNT0388569
Source: RNAcentral